Molecule: ribosomal RNA, 1346 nt
Filed under: uncultured bacterium
Lineage: Bacteria
Description: partial 16S ribosomal RNA
Rfam family: Bacterial small subunit ribosomal RNA
Source: RNAcentral
GACGAACGCUGGCGGCGUGCUUAACACAUGCAAGUCGAACGGAAAGGCCCUGCUUUUGUGGGGUGCUCGAGUGGCGAACGGGUGAGUAACACGUGAGUAACCUGCCCUUGACUUUGGGAUAACUUCAGGAAACUGGGGCUAAUACCGGAUAGGAGCUCCUGCUGCAUGGUGGGGGUUGGAAAGUUUCGGCGGUUGGGGAUGGACUCGCGGCUUAUCAGCUUGUUGGUGGGGUAGUGGCUUACCAAGGCUUUGACGGGUAGCCGGCCUGAGAGGGUGACCGGCCACAUUGGGACUGAGAUACGGCCCAGACUCCUACGGGAGGCAGCAGUGGGGAAUAUUGCACAAUGGGCGGAAGCCUGAUGCAGCAACGCCGCGUGCGGGAUGACGGCCUUCGGGUUGUAAACCGCUUUCGCCUGUGACGAAGCGUGAGUGACGGUAAUGGGUAAAGAAGCACCGGCUAACUACGUGCCAGCAGCCGCGGUGAUACGUAGGGUGCGAGCGUUGUCCGGAUUUAUUGGGCGUAAAGGGCUCGUAGGUGGUUGAUCGCGUCGGAAGUGUAAUCUUGGGGCUUAACCCUGAGCGUGCUUUCGAUACGGGUUGACUUGAGGAAGGUAGGGGAGAAUGGAAUUCCUGGUGGAGCGGUGGAAUGCGCAGAUAUCAGGAGGAACACCAGUGGCGAAGGCGGUUCUCUGGGCCUUUCCUGACGCUGAGGUGCGAAAGCGUGGGGAGCGAACAGGCUUAGAUACCCUGGUAGUCCACGCUGUAAACGGUGGGUACUAGGUGUGGGGUCCAUUCCACGGGUUCCGUGCCGUAGCUAACGCUUUAAGUACCCCGCCUGGGGAGUACGGCCGCAAGGCUAAAACUCAAAGGAAUUGACGGGGCCCCGCACAAGCGGCGGAGCAUGCGGAUUAAUUCGAUGCAACGCGUAGAACCUUACCUGGGUUUGACAUGGAUCGGGAGUGCUCAGAGAUGGGUGUGCCUCUUUUGGGGUCGGUUCACAGGUGGUGCAUGGCUGUCGUCAGCUCGUGUCGUGAGACGUUGGGUUAAGUCCCGCAACGAGCGCAACCCUUGUUCACUGUUGCCAGCACGUUAUGGUGGGGACUCAGUGGAGACCGCCGGGGUCAACUCGGAGGAAGGUGGGGAUGACGUCAAGUCAUCAUGCCCCUUAUGUCCAGGGCUUCACGCAUGCUACAAUGGCUGGUACAGAGAGUGGCGAGCCUGUGAGGGUGAGCGAAUCUCGGAAAGCCGGUCUCAGUUCGGAUUGGGGUCUGCAACUCGACCUCAUGAAGUCGGAGUCGCUAGUAAUCGCAGAUCAGCAACGCUGCGGUGAAUACGUUCCCGGGGCU